UGGGGAAUCUUGGACAAUGGGGGCAACCCUGAUCCAGCCAUGCCGCGUGAGUGAUGAAGGCCUUAGGGUCGUAAAGCUCUUUCGCCUGUGAAGAUAAUGACGGUAGCAGGUAAAGAAACCCCGGCUAACUCCGUGCCAGCAGCCGCGGUAAUACGGAGGGGGUUAGCGUUGUUCGGAAUUACUGGGCGUAAAGCGCACGUAGGCGGACCAGAAAGUUGGGGGUGAAAUCCCGGGGGCUCAACCCCGGAACUGCCUCCAAAACUAUUGGUCUAGAGUUCGAGAGAGGUGAGUGGAAUUCCAAGUGUAGAGGUGAAAUUCGUAGAUAUUUGGAGGAACACCAGUGGCGAAGGCGGCUCACUGGCUCGAUACUGACGCUGAGGUGCGAAAGUGUGGGGAGCAAAACAGGAUUAGAUACCCUGGUAGUCCACACCGUAAAACGAUGAAUGCCAGUCGUCGGGUAGCAUGCUAUUCGGUGACACACCUAACGGAUUAAGCAUUCCGCCUGGGGAGUACGGUCGCAAGAUU
This 525-nucleotide ribosomal RNA is filed under the name uncultured bacterium. Its description in RNAcentral is "bacterial SSU rRNA". It matches the Rfam family "Bacterial small subunit ribosomal RNA", at positions 355 to 895 of the family's 1533-position model. The record is from RNAcentral.